GUUUAUAUAAUAUAAAAAGUAUAUUUAAUUUCCAAUUAAAAAGUUUAAUAUAAUUAAUAUAAAUA
Molecule: transfer RNA, 65 nt
Filed under: Phaenocarpa sp. QL-2014
Lineage: Eukaryota; Metazoa; Arthropoda; Insecta; Hymenoptera; Braconidae
Description: tRNA-Gly
Source: RNAcentral